UCCUGAAACCCUAUCAUACGCUUCUUCUUCUUGCAUCUCAUUUUCUUUGAAACCUAAAUCUUCAUCAUCGCUUAAUCUCACAACCCCAACCCUUGUGCUUCUCAAUUAUACUUCAUCUACAUCCAGAUCCCUACUUUCAUUCUCACUUUUCAGAUCUCAUCACUCCAUUAAUGCCCCAAACUGUUUGACUCUCUCGAUUUCUGUAUCAUCUAACACUCCAGAUCUUCACAGGUGAUGUUGCAUACAGAUCUGAGGUUAUGUUUGCUUGUGGCGUGUGAUUUAUCAGAUUUGUAGUUGAUUGAUUGCUCUUCUAAGCAAGGAGAGAUGGAAUCUGAAGGAGAGACUGGGGGUUCCGCUCAGAAUCUUUGAUAUUCCGACCAGAAGCUAGGGUUUUGAUGGUAGUUUCCAGCGACACAGGUGGUGUUUGAGAUUGAAUCUUAAUUGAAAAGGGUUUGUAUUAGAGCUUCCUAGAGCAUUGUCAACCAUUUGCCUAUGAUGGGUUAUUUGUGAUUAUGUUUUCUCUGUGUUAGGUUUAUCCAGGCAAUUAAAAAUAAAAUAGCUUUCAUGACAAAAGUUGUGUUUGAUGUGCUAAUUUUGUAGGAUGCGUUACAUGAUAGUAUUGUGUUAAUCAUCAAGCUUGGCUCCAAUCUUUUGAUCUAUCCGAAGUAUUAAUUGUCCAUUAUUCCUGAAGAUAUGGCGGACCUGUCAUUAAAGUAUAAUUGAAUCGUGCAAGUUAUACUCUUCUUCCUUCUCAUUUUCAUUAUAUACAUUUUAUCGCUUUUUUAUGUUUUAAGCCAAUGAUGGGACCAAUGCAAGCAUCGUCAAUACUUAUAAAGAAGGCUUCGGCAUAUAAUUUUGUUGGUUCAGCAGUCCUUAACCUUUGACAAGUUAAUGGCUGGUAACUACUUGGUGAGGUUAUUGCUGGAGCAGAUGAUAGACUCUGCAAAUUCGGCUUAUCUUGGCAUACUAGAAAGGUGGGUGUAUGAAGGACUUAUUGAUGAUCCACAUGACGAGUUCUUCAUUGCUGAGAACAAAUCUCUUCAAAAGGUGUAAGGUUAUACAACUGCCUUAUAGUUUAAUACCCCUGAUAGGGAUAUGGUGAUUACUCUUGAUGACUGAUACACUCAAAAUCAUUUGGAGCUCAAUAUGCUAGAUGGAGUGUUGGUCGAUGGCAAGGGACUUAAUGUUGAUCUAGGCUCAAUUUCAUUGGUUUUUCCCUAUAAAUAUAGUUCCAUUGUUCAAGACGACAUUAACCAUACUACACUCAAUGAUGAUUUAGCAUGUAUUGGAGCAUGAAAAACCACACGAGCACUCAGUAAUAAUUCUGUUCAAAUGAGUCAAUAGAAGUUUGCAUCAAAUGUGGUUGAGAAAUGUUUUGACUUUUGGAGAUGCUAGCAAACGCCAACUUCUUGUGAAUAAGUUCAACAAUUAGUUUCUUAACUUGCUGGGACUUUUGCUGUUAGAAAUGAAUCUAACUCUCAAGAAAAUGAAAAGAGGAGUUUAAUGAGUAGGUGCACAUAAAUUAUCUCCCAUUUAAAGGAUGGAGGACCAACAUCAUUUGCUCAUGUCAUUGAACAGGAAAUAUGCAUCUUUAAGUAAAUUGGGGGCAAUUAUCAUGUGUUUUUAAUUAUUACGGCACGAGUCCGAGACACUUCUAUGCUUAUAGAAUACUCCAAAACAAAGUAUGCACUUUAUGAUUAACUUAUCUAAUACGUCACAUUAUUUAA
RNA transcript from Helianthus annuus (common sunflower), 1727 nucleotides. It is a transcript of the gene named gamma-tubulin complex component 2-like, with no coding region annotated. NCBI's taxonomy places the organism in Eukaryota, Viridiplantae, Streptophyta, Magnoliopsida, Asterales, Asteraceae. The transcript has 10 exons. The record is from RefSeq and is a predicted model, not a curated record.